RNAcentral lists this ribosomal RNA (496 nucleotides) under uncultured bacterium. RNAcentral's name for it is "partial 16S ribosomal RNA". It matches the Rfam family "Bacterial small subunit ribosomal RNA", at positions 29 to 507 of the family's 1533-position model. The record is from RNAcentral.
AUGCACGCUGGCGGCGUGCCUAAUACAUGCAAGUCGAGCGAACAGAUCAGGAGCUUGCUCCUUUGACGUUAGCGGCGGACGGGUGAGUAACACGUGGGUAACCUACCUAUAAGACUGGGAUAACUUCGGGAAACCGGAGCUAAUACCGGAUAAUAUUUCGAACCGCAUGGUUCGAUAGUGAAAGAUGGUUUUGCUAUCACUUAUAGAUGGACCCGCGCCGUAUUAGCUAGUUGGUAAGGUAACGGCUUACCAAGGCGACGAUACGUAGCCGACCUGAGAGGGUGAUCGGCCACACUGGAACUGAGACACGGUCCAGACUCCUACGGGAGGCAGCAGUAGGGAAUCUUCCGCAAUGGGCGAAAGCCUGACGGAGCAACGCCGCGUGAGUGAUGAAGGUCUUCGGAUCGUAAAACUCUGUUAUUAGGGAAGAACAUACGUGUAAGUAACUGUGCACGUCUUGACGGUACCUAAUCAGAAAGCCACGGCUAACUACGUG